This 644-nucleotide ribosomal RNA is filed under the name uncultured Halomonas sp. RNAcentral's name for it is "bacterial SSU rRNA". It matches the Rfam family "Bacterial small subunit ribosomal RNA", at positions 338 to 974 of the family's 1533-position model. Lineage: Bacteria; Pseudomonadati; Pseudomonadota; Gammaproteobacteria; Oceanospirillales; Halomonadaceae. The record is from RNAcentral.
CCUACGGGAGGCAGCAGUGGGGAAUAUUGGACAAUGGGCGCAAGCCUGAUCCAGCCAUGCCGCGUGUGUGAAGAAGGCUUUCGGGUUGUAAAGCACUUUCAGUGGGGAAGAACGCUUAUCGGUCAAUACCCGGUAGGAAGGACAUCACCCACAGAAGAAGCACCGGCUAACUCCGUGCCAGCAGCCGCGGUAAUACGGAGGGUGCGAGCGUUAAUCGGAAUUACUGGGCGUAAAGCGCGCGUAGGUGGCUUGAUAAGCCGGUUGUGAAAGCCCCGGGCUCAACCUGGGAACGGCAUCCGGAACUGUCAGGCUAGAGUGCAGGAGAGGAAGGUAGAAUUCCCGGUGUAGCGGUGAAAUGCGUAGAGAUCGGGAGGAAUACCAGUGGCGAAGGCGGCCUUCUGGACUGACACUGACACUGAGGUGCGAAAGCGUGGGUAGCAAACAGGAUUAGAUACCCUGGUAGUCCACGCCGUAAACGAUGUCGACUAGCCGUUGGGUUCCUCGAGGACUUAGUGGCGCAGUUAACGCGAUAAGUCGACCGCCUGGGGAGUACGGCCGCAAGGUUAAAACUCAAAUGAAUUGACGGGGGCCCGCACAAGCGGUGGAGCAUGUGGUUUAAUUCGAUGCAACGCGAAGAACCUUAC